AUAGUACUCUUUCCGUUUCGAAUUACUUGUCGCAGGUAUGGAUGUAUCUAGAUGUAUUUUAGUUCUAGAUACAUCCAUUUCUGCGACGAGUAAUUUGGAACAGAGGGAGUACAUG
Molecule: non-coding RNA, 115 nt
Organism: Triticum aestivum (bread wheat)
Lineage: Eukaryota; Viridiplantae; Streptophyta; Magnoliopsida; Poales; Poaceae
Source: Rfam